ACGGAAGGCAGCAGUGUGGAAUAUUGGGCAAUGGACGAAAGUCUGACCCAGCGACGCCGCGUGAAGGAAGAAGGCCCUCGGGUUGUAAACUUCAGUCAACAGGGAAGAAACAAAUGACGGUACCUGUGGAGGAAGCCACGGCUAACUACGUGCCAGCAGCCGCGGUAAUACGUAGGUGGCGAGCGUUAUCCGGAUUUACUGGGUGUAAAGGGUGUGUAGGCGGGUUUGCAAGCCAGAUGUGAAAAUUAUGGGCUUAACUCAUAACUUGCAUUUGAAACUGUAGAUCUUGAGUGUCGGAGAGGUAAAUGGAAUUCCCAGUGUAGCGGUGAAAUGCGUAGAUAUUGGGAGGAACACCAGUGGCGAAGGCGGUUUACUGGACGAUUACUGACGCUGAGACACGAAAGUGUGGGGAGCAAACAGGAUUAGAUACCCUGGUA
Molecule: ribosomal RNA, 437 nt
Filed under: uncultured Oscillospiraceae bacterium
Lineage: Bacteria; Bacillati; Bacillota; Clostridia; Eubacteriales; Oscillospiraceae
Description: partial 16S ribosomal RNA
Rfam family: Bacterial small subunit ribosomal RNA
Source: RNAcentral